RNAcentral lists this non-coding RNA (45 nucleotides) under Echinostoma caproni. The record is from RNAcentral. Lineage: Eukaryota; Metazoa; Platyhelminthes; Trematoda; Plagiorchiida; Echinostomatidae.
GCACUGCUGACGAGUCCAAAACGGGACAAAACAGCUGUCCAGAGC